CCUACGGGUGGCAGCAGUGGGGGAUAUUGCACAAUGGGGGGAACCCUGAUGCAGCGACGCCGCGUGGGUGAAGGAGUGCUUCGGCAUGUAAAGCCCUAUCGGCAGGGAAGAAGCAAGACGGUACCUGACUAAGAAGCCCCGGCUAACUACGUGCCAGCAGCCGCGGUAAUACGUAGGGGGCGAGCGUUAUCCGGAUUCACUGGGUGUAAAGGGAGCGUAGACGGCGAAGAAAGUCUGAAGUGAAAGCCCGCGGCUUAACCGCGGAACUGCUUUGGAAACUUUUUUGCUGGAGUACCGGAGAGGUAAGCGGAAUUCCUAGUGUAGCGGUGAAAUGCGUAGAUAUUAGGAGGAACACCAGUGGCGAAGGCGGCUUACUGGACGGUAACUGACGUUGAGGCUCGAAAGCGUGGGGAGCAAACAGGAUUAGAUACCCGUGUAGUC
This 441-nucleotide ribosomal RNA is filed under the name uncultured bacterium. RNAcentral's name for it is "partial 16S ribosomal RNA". It matches the Rfam family "Bacterial small subunit ribosomal RNA", at positions 338 to 795 of the family's 1533-position model. The record is from RNAcentral.